Molecule: ribosomal RNA, 622 nt
Filed under: Salmonella enterica
Lineage: Bacteria; Pseudomonadati; Pseudomonadota; Gammaproteobacteria; Enterobacterales; Enterobacteriaceae
Also listed under: 1 other name
Description: bacterial SSU rRNA
Rfam family: Bacterial small subunit ribosomal RNA
Source: RNAcentral
AAAUUGAAGAGUUUGAUCAUGGCUCAGAUUGAACGCUGGCGGCAGGCCUAACACAUGCAAGUCGAACGGUAACAGGAAGCAGCUUGCUGCUUCGCUGACGAGUGGCGGACGGGUGAGUAAUGUCUGGGAAACUGCCUGAUGGAGGGGGAUAACUACUGGAAACGGUGGCUAAUACCGCAUAACGUCGCAAGACCAAAGAGGGGGACCUUCGGGCCUCUUGCCAUCAGAUGUGCCCAGAUGGGAUUAGCUAGUUGGUGAGGUAACGGCUCACCAAGUCGACGAUCCCUAGCUGGUCUGAGAGGAUGACCAGCCACACUGGAACUGAGACACGGUCCAGACUCCUACGGGAGGCAGCAGUGGGGAAUAUUGCACAAUGGGCGCAAGCCUGAUGCAGCCAUGCCGCGUGUAUGAAGAAGGCCUUCGGGUUGUAAAGUACUUUCAGCGGGGAGGAAGGUGUUGUGGUUAAUAACCACAGCAAUUGACGUUACCCGCAGAAGAAGCACCGGCUAACUCCGUGCCAGCAGCCGCGGUAAUACGGAGGGUGCAAGCGUUAAUCGGAAUUACUGGGCGUAAAGCGCACGCAGGCGGUCUGUCAAGUCGGAUGUGAAAUCCCCGGGCUCAA